RNAcentral lists this ribosomal RNA (945 nucleotides) under Thriocerodes anthicides. Its description in RNAcentral is "partial 16S ribosomal RNA". The record is from RNAcentral. Lineage: Eukaryota; Metazoa; Arthropoda; Insecta; Coleoptera; Cleridae.
GAAUAUAAAUUAUUAUUAAUUUUAUUCAUUAUUUAUUUAUAUAAAGAAAGUAAUUUUUUUUUAUUAUUAUUUUUGAAAAAAUUUUUUUAAUUAUAGUUUAUUAGUAUUGUAAAAGAAAUUAUUAAUAUAAAUAAAAGAAAAAUUUAAUUUUUGUACCUUGUGUAUCAGGGUUAAUUUAAUUUAGUUUUUAAAUAAAAAUCUCUCGAAUUUAAAAGAGUUAAUUAUUUAUAAAUUUAAUUGUAAAAUAAAUUUUUAUAAUAAAUAAUUUGUAAUGAAACGUUAUUCGUUUUUAAAUAUAUCUAGUUUUUAAAGAAAAAAAUUUAAUUUUAUUAUUAAUAUUUAAAGAUUUAAUUUUUUAAUUUUUUAUUUAUUAAUAUUAAAUUUUAUUAGGGAUAAGCUUAAUAAAAAAAAAUUAUAAUUAAUUUUAAUAGUAAAUAAUUUAUAAAAUUAGAAUUUUUUAUAUAUAAGAAAAUGUUAUAAUUAAUUAUAUUUAUUUUUUAUUUUUAUUUAAUUUAAUUUUUUUAUUUAAAUUUAAAUUUUAAUUAAGAAAAUUUAGUAAUUAUGAUUAAAUUAGUAUAUAUUUAAUGUAAUUAUAUUUAUAAUAAUUAAGGUUAAUUUAAGGAAUUCGGCAAAUUUAUUUUUCACCUGUUUAUUAAAAACAUGUCUUUUUGAUUAUAAUUUAAAGUCUAAUCUGCCCACUGAUAAAUUAAAUGGCCGCGGUAUUUUGACCGUGCAAAGGUAGCAUAAUAAUUAGUUUUUUAAUUGGAAGCUGGAAUGAAUGAUUGAAUGAGAAAAUAACUGUCUCAAAUUAAUUAUUUAGAAUUUUAUAUUUAAGUUAAAAAGCUUAAAUUUUAUUAAAAGACGAGAAGACCCUAUAGAGUUUUAUAAAUAAUUUUAUUUGAAUUUUUAGUUUUAAAUAUUUAAAUUUUAUUUAUUUAUUUUGUU